Molecule: long non-coding RNA, 649 nt
Organism: Etheostoma spectabile (orangethroat darter)
Lineage: Eukaryota; Metazoa; Chordata; Actinopteri; Perciformes; Percidae
Exons: 3
Source: RefSeq, a predicted model, not a curated record
ACUUAUGCUGUAUGUACUUAAGAUUUGGUUUGAAGGUGAGGAAGGGGCUCAGCCUAAACAAACCUGUAUAGUCUGCCUCCUUCCCUCCCUCCACGCAUGUUUACUCUACUUUGGUUGUGCUUGUAGGAGUCUCCGAAGACCAACCCUCUACAAUACCUCCUCUGUUGAGAUCUUGGCUUUGUUUUGUAAAUACAUUUUUGGAGGUUGUGCUAGUUCAUUCCGUUGCUGUUUUGCUGCUUUUAAAGAACUAACUGGAGAAACAAAUGUAAUCAGCAUCAUCUGAGCAAAAGGAAAAUUAAAUUUGUCUGAGAACGGAUUACAAUUUAGGCCAAAUGAACAUACCUGUAACCUGAUUACACUGCCAGAGGUGAGUCAAUCUGUCCACCUACUGGUAAACCUGGUAGAUAUAGAUGCAAACAGCCAAUAGCAAGAUGGUCAAGUGAUCCACUUUAAUCUUUAAACUCUAAGCAGAUGUCUGAAAUACUUUUAAUAAUCCUUAAAAAAUUCAAUGACUCUUCUGUAAAUAACAGCCUUGUGUGUACCUACCUGUGUACCUACUGUGAAAUUUGAAUGACAAAGGCAUUAACAUAUUUUUGUAUUUUUGUACUGCCAUUUCAAAACAACAUAAAGUUUAAUAUUUGUCACAAUG